CUGCGAGGACGACCUCGCGACUCAUCGAGUGAUUUUUCUGGGGACGGCCCCA
RNAcentral lists this non-coding RNA (52 nucleotides) under Pseudomonas sp. Its description in RNAcentral is "Guanidine-II sequence". It matches the Rfam family "Guanidine-II riboswitch aptamer (mini-ykkC)". From Rfam's summary of the family: Simpler in structure and has fewer highly conserved nucleotide positions than the ykkC-yxkD leader. Despite this each of its two stem-loop structures directly bind free guanidine. Lineage: Bacteria; Pseudomonadati; Pseudomonadota; Gammaproteobacteria; Pseudomonadales; Pseudomonadaceae. The record is from RNAcentral.